RNAcentral lists this ribosomal RNA (460 nucleotides) under uncultured bacterium. RNAcentral's name for it is "partial 16S ribosomal RNA". It matches the Rfam family "Bacterial small subunit ribosomal RNA", at positions 338 to 795 of the family's 1533-position model. The record is from RNAcentral.
CCUACGGGUGGCAGCAGUGAGGAAUAUUGGUCAAUGGACGAGAGUCUGAACCAGCCAAGUAGCGUGAAGGAUGACUGCCCUAUGGGUUGUAAACUUCUUUUAUAUGGGAAUAAAACGUUCCACGUGUGGGAUUUUGUAGGUACCAUAUGAAUAAGGAUCGGCUAACUCCGUGCCAGCAGCCGCGGUAAUACGGAGGAUCCGAGCGUUAUCCGGAUUUAUUGGGUUUAAAGGGAGCGUAGGUGGAUUGUUAAGUCAGUUGUGAAAGUUUGCGGCUCAACCGUAAAAUUGCAGUUGAAACUGGCAGUCUUGAGUACAGUAGAGGUGGGCGGAAUUCGUGGUGUAGCGGUGAAAUGCUUAGAUAUCACGAAGAACUCCGAUUGCGAAGGCAGUUCACUGGACUGCAACUGACACUGAGGCUCGAAAGUGUGGGUAUCAAACAGGAUUAGAUACCCUAGUAGUC